GACGAACGCUGGCGGCGUGCUUAACACAUGCAAGUCGAACGGAAAGGCCCUGCUUUUGUGGGGUGCUCGAGUGGCGAACGGGUGAGUAACACGUGAGUAACCUGCCCUUGACUUUGGGAUAACUUCAGGAAACUGGGGCUAAUACCGGAUAGGAGCUCCUGCUGCAUGGUGGGGGUUGGAAAGUUUCGGCGGUUGGGGAUGGACUCGCGGCUUAUCAGCUUGUUGGUGGGGUAGUGGCUUACCAAGGCUUUGACGGGUAGCCGGCCUGAGAGGGUGACCGGCCACAUUGGGACUGAGAUACGGCCCAGACUCCUACGGGAGGCAGCAGUGGGGAAUAUUGCACAAUGGGCGGAAGCCUGAUGCAGCAACGCCGCGUGCGGGAUGACGGCCUUCGGGUUGUAAACCGCUUUCGCCUGUGACGAAGCGUGAGUGACGGUAAUGGGUAAAGAAGCACCGGCUAACUACGGG
This 468-nucleotide ribosomal RNA is filed under the name uncultured bacterium. RNAcentral's name for it is "partial 16S ribosomal RNA". It matches the Rfam family "Bacterial small subunit ribosomal RNA", at positions 28 to 507 of the family's 1533-position model. The record is from RNAcentral.